Molecule: transfer RNA, 88 nt
Filed under: Vibrio parahaemolyticus
Lineage: Bacteria; Pseudomonadati; Pseudomonadota; Gammaproteobacteria; Vibrionales; Vibrionaceae
Also listed under: 5 other names
Description: tRNA-Ser
Rfam family: tRNA
About the family: Transfer RNA (tRNA) molecules are approximately 80 nucleotides in length. Their secondary structure includes four short double-helical elements and three loops (D, anti-codon, and T loops). Further hydrogen bonds mediate the characteristic L-shaped molecular structure. tRNAs have two regions of fundamental functional importance: the anti-codon, which is responsible for specific mRNA codon recognition, and the 3' end, to which the tRNAs corresponding amino acid is attached (by aminoacyl-tRNA synthetases). tRNAs cope with the degeneracy of the genetic code in two manners: having more than one tRNA (with a specific anti-codon) for a particular amino acid; and 'wobble' base-pairing, i.e. permitting non-standard base-pairing at the 3rd anti-codon position.
Source: RNAcentral
GGAGAAGUGACCGAGAGGCCGAUGGUGUUCCCCUGCUAAGGGAAUGUGCGGCAACGCACCGAGGGUUCGAAUCCCUCUUUCUCCGCCA